RNAcentral lists this transfer RNA (72 nucleotides) under Camelus bactrianus (Bactrian camel). It matches the Rfam family "tRNA". From Rfam's summary of the family: Transfer RNA (tRNA) molecules are approximately 80 nucleotides in length. Their secondary structure includes four short double-helical elements and three loops (D, anti-codon, and T loops). The record is from Rfam by way of RNAcentral. RNAcentral also lists the same sequence under 2 other names. Lineage: Eukaryota; Metazoa; Chordata; Mammalia; Artiodactyla; Camelidae.
GAGGGUACAGCUCAGUGGUAGAGUGCGUGCUUAGCAUCCACAAGGUCCUGGGCUCAAUCCCCAGUACCUCCA